CUGACCCUUUGUAAAUAUCCCCCAGGGCCCAGCAAAUACCACAUGCUAAAAAUAGCCCCUGUCCUGAGUGGGCUGGUCGGAGGCACCCGCCAAGGGGGCAGGCAGGCCCAGGGGGCGAGCUCAGCCCGGCUCGCACUGGACACACACCUGUCAAGGUCCCCGCCAGCGGGAGCCCCUUAUCUGUUUGGUGAGGGGCAGGGAUAGGAUCAAGACGCAGCGGGAUUUGUUGCCAGAAGCCAGCAAAGAUGUGGAAAAAACUGGACAGAAGCCCAGUGUCUCUGAGUUCUUGGAAUGAGGAAGCCUGCGCACACGUGGGGUGGAGUGGGUGACAGCCUGUGGCCUGGGUUCCAAGAGCACAGGCCUCAGAGUCAAGAGGAAGGAAGUGAGGGAGAGCCGGCCAAGGACGGAGCCGCCCAGAAAAAGAGGCUGCACAGAGCCCGAAGCUGGCCACUCGUGGUCACACGGAACUGAACAGGGCACAGGAGGUGGGGUGCCUGGGUCACACUCUCCUGAAGAUCACUGUCCUCUGUUCCCUUUGGCUGUAAGAUAAAGGAAGCCUGCACAGAACCACAGACCCCAGGGCUCGGCAGGGCCUCGUCAGCCACUCUCCACCAACCCCGAGAUGCCGGAUGCUUGGAGUUUUGAGUUCAAGUCUUGGCACCCUUCAAUCAUUCUGCACAUGUUUUUUGAGCACCGACUCCACGUCGAACUGAUGGAGGACCUGAUCUAGCAGUGAGCAAAAGACAGAUCGCUGCCAUCACGGGGCUUGCAUUUUAGUUAAGGGAGAUGGGCAAUACACAAAUCAAUAUAUAAGGGCUGCUAAAAACUAAUAAUAAUAAAGCAGAGUAAAGGAAAUAGAGCGUGCAGGUAGGGGGUCAGGAGGUAACACUGGAGCAGAGACCCAAAGCAAGUGACAGGGAGUCAUAGCAGCCGGAGGAAGAGCCUGUCAGGCAGAGGGGGCAGCCAGUGCAAGGGCCCUGAGGCAGGAGCUAGUGUGGUACAGUUGACCAGCCAAGAGGCAGCUGGUGGGCUGGACUGGGGCCAAUGAGGGGAUGGAUGGUAGGAGGGAAGGUUGGGGGCACUGGGUAGCCAGGUCAGGCAAAGGUGGAGGCCCAUGAGGGGCCGUGAGCUCUUACCCCACGUGAGCGGAAGCCACCACGGAGUCGAGAGAGUGAGAGGCCACGGGCUGACUGAGUCUGCCAGUCUGAAACUUUGCCUCCCUGAGCUCUAGUCCUCUUUUGUAAAAGGAACACCUGGGAGCAGUGACCUCACAGGGCUGUGGCAAGUUUUAAAUAAAAUGGUACCUACAAAGGGAUCCGUUUGAAACCUAGGGAUGACUCAGCACGUGGUAGGUGAUAACAGGUUAUUCUCGUGAUCCUCAGUGUGGAGUUCCUUCUAGAGUCACCCCCAGCAGGCAGCCUUCCUGCCUCUGCCUCCCUGGCCCUGGGAACUUUCCAGGAGGGGCUGGGCUUUUCACAAAGCCCGUUGUGCUGGGCCUGCAAUGUUCUCCAAUAUUUCCUCUGAUACGCAGGCAGGCAUCUCCCCGGGAAGUCCUGCAGGGCCAGGCCCUGGCCAGAGCUGACCUGGGCUGUGGGGCCCAGGGACACCGAGGGCGGGACUGCCCACGUGAGUGUGAUGGACGGCAGGAACCGGGCAGAGGCCAGGACAGAGGUGGUAGGUGCAGGGUGUCCAGGGUGGCAUAGGCGGUUGUCACAACUGUCACAGCUUCUCCCUCCUUCCCAGCACCAGCAUCCCCGGGGCAGAUCCAGGGAAGCCUGCCCCGUCUGGCAAUGCUGACCAUCCACUACCUCGCUCAGGCACCCAGAGUAGAAAGGCUCUUCUCACUGCUUCUUGAUCAGAGAUGAAGUCACUGUCCUAUACAAACAGAAGAGGUCUGGGCCUGGCUGGACCCUCUCAAACCCUAGGGUAACCCUGGCCUUCGACCGAAAGCAGCCUAUGGUUGGUGAGGCAGACGCAACUCCGGGCCACACACAGGCCUGCCACGUGUUUGUCCUUCGUAGUAGCUCUCAGUGGAGGAGACUAUGGGUGCUACCCUCAGAGCCUCCAGGCUCUCCCGGAUCUCUAUAUCAGGCCUGGCCACCUAGCCUGCCUUCUGUGGCUUUCUCUUCUGUUCACUCUUCCUCAGGUGACUGCCCCAGGUUACAGGAGCUAUUUGCCUACAGAACAGGAAGUAACUGGAAGUUUACACCCCCUUAGCCAAUGACUAGGGUGCAAGAGAGCGAGGUCCCAACUCCCUUAUCUCUGACGGGGAGGACUCUGAAAUGUAACCUAUACUCCAGAGUCCCCUGUGGGUCAGGCUAAAGCCAUCCUCGGCACUCUUGCUGGCCUCUUCCUCUCCCAUCCUGUUCCUGCUUCCCCAGGUCCCUCUCCAGUCUCCUCCCCAGUCCCCCAGGAGCACUGCCUUAGCAAAUCACUGAGCCGGGGAUAUCCUCUCAGGAUCUGCUUCUGGGGAUCUUGACCUAAGACACCUUCUAAGGUGAUAGUAGGAGGAGGAGUAACAGCUAAAAUUUGUUGAGUGCCUACUCCGUGCAAAAUAUCGUCUUAAGUGUUUUCCAGUGUUAACCUCACAACAACCCAGGGAAGCUGUCACUCCCAUUAUCCCCAUUUCGCAGAUGAGGAAACCAAGGUACGGGGAGAAGAAGUCAGUUGCCACAGAGAUGCUAUGGUUAUCCUCGUACAGGUAAGUGGCAGAGUCAGGAUUCUUAGGCGGUACCCCUUCUAGUAAGGCAGGGGUCCACACAGACACACACACUUUGGUGACGGGGCAUUCAGGGCUAAGGGACCAAAUCACAGCAGACACGGUGUGUGCCACUGGAUAGGCAUUUGGAGAAUGUCCUGAGACACGGCAUGGCUACAGACCCAGGACAGAUCACCCCACCAGGUCAUGAGUUAUCUGUCCUUAUGGGUUCAUCAAGGGCAAUCUUGGGGAUAUCUUGUCCAAUCCUUUCUUCACAGUCAUGGGGACCGGGCCCAGGGCGACCGAUCGCGUGAGGACAGCCCCCUUGGGUCUCCAGAUGUUCCACCAUUGCUUGACACAUCCCAUGCUCAUAAAAAGCCUGCUGAAUAAAUACACGAAUUACUUCAGGACUAAAGGUGGGGCCACAAACCGAGGCUCCACAAAGCCAGAUUUUUGGUGGAGGAAACCAAAUAUUCACAUACAAAUGCACAUUAAAUUGAAUCAACCAAAAAUGCUGUUCCCAAUAAUGUCUGAACAAACACAAUCGUAAUCAAAUCCAGAACCAUGAGCACUAGGGCCCCCACCCUCGGCUACUUGCUUUGCCAGAAGGCACGGGGGGGCCCCCAGACAGGCAGGACAGAGAGACCCUCUAGCGACGCAGUCUGCCUGGGCUGGGGUCUUGAGGAGGCCCCGGGGAACGUCCUGACCAUCGGGAUCCCAGGAGGAGGGAGUGUUCAGCAAAGGGCAGUUGCAUUUUACAUUCUCAACUAAACAACCAAAUGCCCUCUGUAAGCCAGCUCCACUCCACCCCCUCCCGGGCCCCCGCCCCAGCUCGACUGGUCACGGGGCCACAGACACAACCAAGGCGAGGGCCCUUUCAGUCCCAGAAUCAGAAAGGAGGAGAACCCAGCCAGGCCCACUAGUGAAAGAAUAUUGCUCUCUAUCUGGAUCCCUAUUGCCACCUCCCGAGGUCUCCCAAAGGGGCUUCCCCUGUGUAUGCGUGCAGGCGGCCCUCCUUCAUUCAAUGUACCCUUUGUCACAGCCCCUUUCAAAAGCAAGCUAUUCAGACAGGGCGGCAAACUUUGGGACGAUUCAUUACCAGGCUGGGCAGCAGCUGGCCGGCCGACUCCCUCCUCUCCCCAUCUCCAUGCUUCCUCGCAGUGGGAGUGGCCUGUGGGGCCGGCCUGAGUGGGACCCCCCCCCCUCCAGGGCUUCCUGCCAGUGGGGGGACAAGACUCAAGCUGGGCACGACUGACAGGGCUCUCAGGGCUUCGAGUGGUGUUGCUGCCACGCCACGCACUCUGAGAAGUGUGCCUCCCAGGCACCAGGGAGCGAGGCAGGGGCAGAUACUCACUGCCCAGAGAACAGGCAGGAUCAUUUCCUUGGGGCUGCAGAAGUCUAUGAGGGCCUGCUACCCAUCACUCUGAUUCCCCUUCCUAGGGCAGCCGGCAGAGAAGAGGGGCCUGUGCCCAGCACAAUGCCGGGCACACAAUGGUUCUUCAACAGAUACUACCGAGUAUCUGAGUGGGUGGCCUUUGCCCACUGACACUGGCCCCCCGGGAGAGCGACUCGGACCAGAGGCUCCAGGAUAGGAAAACCCAUCUGUGCUCAGGGGCCCCAGCCAGAGGCCGGAAGCGACCCUCCCUCCCCCUCUUGAUGUGCCCUCCUGAGUCCUCUCCCCACAUCCUGGGCCCUGGCCUAUGACUGCACUUCCAUUCCACAUCACCCCCCCCACCGGCCCCCAGCCACCCCACCCCAUCCUCUUCUCGUUUUUCUUUCUGAUUCCGCAUUCCUUCCGUCUCUUCUCCCUGCUAUCCACUCAACAGACACUGUCUGCACUCAUACACAGUGCUGGGCCCUGUGGGAACAGAAGGAAAAGGCCAUGG
Molecule: long non-coding RNA, 4584 nt
Organism: Acinonyx jubatus (cheetah)
Lineage: Eukaryota; Metazoa; Chordata; Mammalia; Carnivora; Felidae
Exons: 3
Source: RefSeq, a predicted model, not a curated record